RNA transcript from Apodemus sylvaticus (European woodmouse), 1842 nucleotides. It is a transcript of the gene named CD47 molecule, with no coding region annotated. The record is from RefSeq and is a predicted model, not a curated record. The transcript is spliced from 12 exons. Lineage: Eukaryota; Metazoa; Chordata; Mammalia; Rodentia; Muridae.
CUGGCGGCUCCGAGGUCAGGACAAGCUUGGCCGGCCAGGGGAAGUGGAGAGGAGCCCGGCUGCGCAGGGGCGCGUGCCGUGAGUUCCGGUGAGCGUGUGUGCUCCACGCUCCGUCUUUCCAGGCUGGCCCAGGACACGAAGCCGGAAGAGAGCUGGAGAGACGGGACCGAGAGCGGAGAGAGAGAGAAAACGAGAGAGAGAAAGAGAGAGAGAGAGUGCAGCUCGCUCGCACAGCCCGGGUGCAGGCUGGAUCUUGGCGCUCUCCGCCCGGAGCCUGCCCAGAGCUGGGUGUGAGGCUGGCAUCACGUCAACGAGCCGAGGCGGCCAGGCGGGGCGGAGUGCGCGUGCGCGGCUAGCGGGGCGUGGGAGCGGGGCGCCGGGCGCGGGGCGGCGAGCACGCGCGCGCGCACACCCCGGGCAGCCUGGGCGGCCGCUCCUGCCUGCCUGCUUGCCUGCCUGCCUGUCACGGCUGCGGCGCUGCUGGUCGUUCCCUUGAAGGCAGCGGAGGCGGCGGCUGCUCCAGACACCUGCGGCGGCGGCGACCCCCCGGCGGCGCGGAGAUGUGGCCCUUGGCGGCGGCGCUGUUGCUGGGCUCCUGCUGCUGCGGUUCAGCUCAGCUCCUGUUUAGUAACAUCAAAUCCGUAGAGUUCACUUCAUGCAAUGAAACUGUGGUCAUACCUUGCAUCGUCCGUAACGUGGAGGCACAGAGCACUGAGGAAAUGUUUGUGAAGUGGAAGUUCAACAAGACGUAUAUUUUCAUCUAUGAUGGAAAUAAAAAUAGCACAACCAUAGAACAAAACUUUACCAGUGCAAAAAUCUCAGUCUCAGACUUGCUCAAAGGCGACGCCUCUUUGAAAAUGGAUAUCCGUGAGGCGGUGGUGGGAAACUACACUUGCGAAGUGACGGAGUUAUCCAGAGAAGGCAAAACAGUUAUAGAGCUGAAAAACCGCACCGCCUUCAACACUGACCAAGGAUCAGCCUGUUCUUACCCCACUACCCCGGCAGGGGACGAGAAGGAGAAAGGAGGUUGCAAAUUAGUUUCGUGGUUUUCUCCAAAUGAAAAGAUCCUCAUUGUUAUUUUCCCAAUUUUGGCUAUACUCCUGUUCUGGGGAAAGUUUGGUAUUUUAACACUCAAAUAUAAAUCCAGCCGUACGAAUAAGAGAAUCAUUCUGCUGCUCGUCACUGGGCUGGUGCUCACCGUCGUCGUGGUUGUUGGAGCCAUUCUUCUCAUCCCGGGAGAAAAGCCCGUGAAGAAUGCUUUUGGACUUUGCCUCAUUGUAAUCUCGACAGGAAUGUUAAUACUACUUCAGUACAAUGUGUUUAUGACAGCUUUUGGGAUGACCUCUUUCACCGUCGCCAUAUUGAUCACUCAAGUGCUGGGCUACGUCCUUGCCUUGGUCGGACUGAGUCUCUGCAUCAUGGCUUGUGAGCCAGUGCACGGCCCCCUUUUGAUUUCAGGUUUGGGUAUCAUAGCUCUAGCAGAACUACUUGGACUAGUUUAUAUGAAGUUUGUUGAGUGGAGAGAGACACCUUCGGUCAGUUGAAAGGCAAGAAGAAAAGCUUCCAACCAGAGGACUAUACAACCUCCUAGGAAAGCUGUAGAGGAACCCCUUAACGAAUAAGUGAAGGGAGGGGACGGACUGUAACUUGGAAGUCAGAAGGGAAGACUACAGUUGUCUAGACACCAUGGCCUUCAUGACUCACAGCUGGAAGGAGCAGGCAACAGUAACUGACUUUCAUCCGUGAAAAAUGUCAUUGAACCAUAAAUGAUUACUACAGUUAAGUUUAUAUUCAAAGCAGCUGUAAUUUACAUAAUAAAAGAAAACAUGAUGUGCUGUGUAA